Non-coding RNA from Photobacterium ganghwense, 77 nucleotides. The record is from Rfam. NCBI's taxonomy places the organism in Bacteria, Pseudomonadati, Pseudomonadota, Gammaproteobacteria, Vibrionales, Vibrionaceae.
UUGAGCCGUAUGCGGGGAAACUCGCACGUACGGUUCUUAGGGGGCGGCGGUACAGUAAUGCUCUGCUGCUACCCGAC